CAAAUUUUUCACUAUCCAUCAUUUUCAUCCGUUGGAUGAUACUAUCUAACUAACCACUCAUUCAACACUAAAGGAGUAUUAUUAUCCUUAUCGUACAUCUCUUUAUCUAAGCGCCGAAACUCUAAUAGCACCAACGACUUUGUGUUUUUAGAAGUAUUCCAACCUAAUUUGAAUGAUUGUUAUAUUUGACACUUUGAUAUGUGUCAAAUUCGAACGGCUAGAAAAAUGUUUACUAAAAGUGUACAGAUAAAACACUCACAGAUUUUAGUCGUGACUUAUAUA
RNAcentral lists this long non-coding RNA (282 nucleotides) under Ananas comosus (pineapple). Its description in RNAcentral is "long non-coding RNA (ACOM_LNC018404)". Lineage: Eukaryota; Viridiplantae; Streptophyta; Magnoliopsida; Poales; Bromeliaceae. The record is from RNAcentral.